GAACUCUCACUAGGGUCAAAGUCAGGUAAAACAGUCAACUCAGCCUUCCACGCAUUCCAGCUCUAAGUCUAGAAACCAUCCAGAGUGCGCCCCUUGGCGAAGGCGUUCAUCCAAGUUUUUGAACUAAACUCGAGAAAAGCCCUUAAUAGAAGUUGAAGUCCUAAGACCGAAGAGCAACUCCUUCAAUAACACCUAGGUCUUUUUCAAACUAGAAACUGCCCUAAAGUUGAGUCAAG
RNAcentral lists this long non-coding RNA (236 nucleotides) under Setaria italica (foxtail millet). RNAcentral's name for it is "long non-coding RNA (SITA_LNC005849)". Lineage: Eukaryota; Viridiplantae; Streptophyta; Magnoliopsida; Poales; Poaceae. The record is from RNAcentral.